This 113-nucleotide ribosomal RNA is filed under the name Periophthalmus magnuspinnatus. Lineage: Eukaryota; Metazoa; Chordata; Actinopteri; Gobiiformes; Gobiidae. The record is from RNAcentral.
AUUUGUGGUCAAACCUCCUUGUCAAAGUCUGAUCUUGUCAGAUCUCAGACGCUAAGCAGGGCUGGGCCUGGUUAGUACCAGGAGACUGCUGGGAAUACCAGGUGCCACAGUGA